RNAcentral lists this ribosomal RNA (253 nucleotides) under uncultured bacterium. RNAcentral's name for it is "partial 16S ribosomal RNA". It matches the Rfam family "Bacterial small subunit ribosomal RNA", at positions 524 to 776 of the family's 1533-position model. The record is from RNAcentral.
UACGGGGGGGGCAAGCGUUGUUCGGAAUUACUGGGCGUAAAGGGUGCGUAGGCGGCUCUCUAAGUCGGAUGUGAAAACUCUGGGCUCAACCCAGAGACUGCAUCCGAAACUGGAGAGCUAGGGUUCUGGAGGGGAAAGCGGAAUUCCUGGUGUAGCGGUGAAAUGCGUAGAGAUGGGGGAGAACACUCGUGGCGAAGGCGGCCAGCUAGACCAGUUCUGACACUGAGGCGCGACAGCGUGGGGAGCAAACAGG